Molecule: long non-coding RNA, 100 nt
Organism: Cucurbita maxima (winter squash)
Lineage: Eukaryota; Viridiplantae; Streptophyta; Magnoliopsida; Cucurbitales; Cucurbitaceae
Exons: 3
Source: RefSeq, a predicted model, not a curated record
UAUAAAUACCUACAAAUUAUUAUAUAAAAGGCAGAUUUGAUUAAUGAAAUUUAGCUCUCAAAUUGAGACUUUCACUCUUAUAAUGAGAUUUCUAAGUUUC